GAUGAACGCUAGCUACAGGCUUAACACAUGCAAGUCGGGGGGUAACGAGAGGAAAGCUUGCUUUCCUUGUCGACGACCGGCGCACGGGUGAGUAACGCGUAUCCAACCUGCCCCCAACUAGGGAAUAACCUUGCGAAAGCAGGACUAAUACCCUAUAAUUUCCUCAGAUGUCAUCUGACGAGGAAUAAAGAUUUAUCGUUUGUGGAUGGGGAUGCGUCUGAUUAGCUUUUUGGCGGGGUAACGGCCCGCCAAGGAAACGAUCAGUAGGGGUUCUGAGAGGAAGGUCCCCAACAUUGGAACUGAGACACGGUCCAAACUCCUACGGGAGGCAGCAGUGAGGAAUAUUGGUCAAUGGGCGGAAGCCUGAACCAGCCAAGUAGCGUGCAGGAUGACGGCCCUAUGGGUUGUAAACUGCUUUUAUACAGGAAUAAAGUUAGCCACGUGUGGUUAUUUGUAGGUACUGUAUGAAUAAGGACCGGCUAAUUCCGUGCCAGCCGCCGCGGUAA
Molecule: ribosomal RNA, 506 nt
Filed under: uncultured bacterium
Lineage: Bacteria
Description: partial 16S ribosomal RNA
Rfam family: Bacterial small subunit ribosomal RNA
Source: RNAcentral